CUGAUGCUCGUCUGCACUGCACAGAGGAAAUCAACUGACCGAGGAGUGUUUCUGAGUGAGGGAGAGAGGAGUCAUCAUCCAGGUAAAGUGACGUGGAUCAGUGGAUACACUUGUCUCCCCUUUAAAGGAGAUACUCUUAGAGAGAGACAAUCCGAGUCAUCCUUAAAUAUGGGCAGGAUAUCAGUCUUGGACUGUCUAACCUCCCGGAGCAGCACUGAAUGAUCACCACACAUGAGCAUGUUCCUGCAACAUUCAGCAUCUGAUCCUUGUUCAUCUGUGUGCUUCUGCUUUUGUGUCAAAUGUCCAACAGCUGGAGAGGAAACUAAACCAGUGUACUGGGAUGUUUCAUCAACAUGUGCCAGACGCUGUUCCUUCAUGGGGACAUCACCAGAGACAGCCCCGCCCACCUCAGGACCUCGCCAUUGAUCAUGAUGAUUAUAAUGAUGACAGCGAGCGGAACUAAGACUGUAAAAAUC
This is a long non-coding RNA of Oreochromis niloticus (Nile tilapia), 476 nucleotides long. RefSeq lists it as uncharacterized. The transcript has 4 exons. NCBI's taxonomy places the organism in Eukaryota, Metazoa, Chordata, Actinopteri, Cichliformes, Cichlidae. The record is from RefSeq and is a predicted model, not a curated record.